CCAGUUUUUCAGUGCCCAUUCCCGAUUUUCCGAGCCCCAUUCCCAGUUUUUCAGUGCCCAUUCCUGGUUUUUGGGGCCCAUUCCUGGUUUUUUGAGGCCAUUCCCAAUUUUUUGGGCCCCAUUUCCGAUUUUCCAGGGCUCUCAGAACUGGUGAGUGUAGAACACCUCGACAUUCCCGAUUUUCCAUGCCCAUUCCCAAUUUUCCAAGCCCCAUUCCCGUUUUUU
This is a long non-coding RNA of Poecile atricapillus (Black-capped chickadee), 225 nucleotides long. RefSeq lists it as uncharacterized. Lineage: Eukaryota; Metazoa; Chordata; Aves; Passeriformes; Paridae. The record is from RefSeq and is a predicted model, not a curated record. The transcript is spliced from 3 exons.